CCGGCACGGGUGAGUAACGCGUAUGCGACCUGCCCGUUGCAGGGGGGAUAAUCGGGAGAAAUCCCGUCUAAUACCGCGUAACGCCGCGGGGCUGCAUGGCCCUGCGGCCAAAGGGAGCGAUUCCGGCAACGGAUGGGCAUGCGUGACAUUAGCUAGUUGGCGGGGCAACGGCCCACCAAGGCGACGAUGUCUAGGGGUUCUGAGAGGAAGGUCCCCCACCACUGGUACUGAGACACGGACCAGACUCCUACGGAAGGCAGCAG
This 263-nucleotide ribosomal RNA is filed under the name uncultured bacterium. Its description in RNAcentral is "partial 16S ribosomal RNA". It matches the Rfam family "Bacterial small subunit ribosomal RNA", at positions 97 to 354 of the family's 1533-position model. The record is from RNAcentral.